This 69-nucleotide transfer RNA is filed under the name Labidura japonica. RNAcentral describes it as "tRNA-Ile". Lineage: Eukaryota; Metazoa; Arthropoda; Insecta; Dermaptera; Labiduridae. The record is from RNAcentral.
GACGCAGUGCCUGAUAAAAGGGUCAUCUUGAUAGGGUGAAUCAUGCUUAAUUUUUUUUUGCUUGCGUUA